RNAcentral lists this ribosomal RNA (332 nucleotides) under uncultured eukaryote. RNAcentral describes it as "partial 18S ribosomal RNA". It matches the Rfam family "Eukaryotic small subunit ribosomal RNA", at positions 1470 to 1796 of the family's 1831-position model. The record is from RNAcentral.
CCCUUAGAUGUUCUGGGCUGCACACGUGCUACACUGGCAGGUUCAGCGAGCUUCAUGCCCUGAUCUGAAAGGAAUGGGAAAUCUUUUCAAAACCUGCCGUGCUUGGGAUAGAUGUUUGCAAUUAUUCAUCUUCAACGAGGAUUGCCUUGUAAGCGCACGUCAUCAGCGCACAUUGAAUACGACCCUGUAUUCUGUACACACCGCCCGUCGCUCCUACCGAUUGAAGUUUUCGGUGAGUUGACAGGAGGAUUUUUUUGAAACUGGUUCGCCAGUGGAUUUUAGAUCCAAAUGCCAACGAAUCGAUGGCUUUAGAGGAAGGAGAAGUCGUAACA